This 253-nucleotide ribosomal RNA is filed under the name uncultured bacterium. RNAcentral describes it as "partial 16S ribosomal RNA". It matches the Rfam family "Bacterial small subunit ribosomal RNA", at positions 524 to 776 of the family's 1533-position model. The record is from RNAcentral.
UACGGGGGGGGCAAGCGUUGUUCGGAAUUACUGGGCGUAAAGGGCUCGUAGGUGGCCAACUAAGUCAGACGUGAAAUCCCUCAGCUUAACUGGGGAACUGCGUCUGAUACUGGAUGGCUUGAGAUUGGGAGAGGGAUGCGGAAUUCCAGGUGUAGCGGUGAAAUUCGUAGAUAUUGGGAAGAACACCGGUGGCGAAGGCGGCUAUCUGGCCCGUAAUUGACGCUGAGGCGCGAAAGCGUGGGGAGCAAACAGG